RNAcentral lists this ribosomal RNA (706 nucleotides) under Micromonospora siamensis. RNAcentral's name for it is "bacterial SSU rRNA". It matches the Rfam family "Bacterial small subunit ribosomal RNA", at positions 56 to 782 of the family's 1533-position model. Lineage: Bacteria; Bacillati; Actinomycetota; Actinomycetes; Micromonosporales; Micromonosporaceae. RNAcentral also lists the same sequence under 1 other name. The record is from RNAcentral.
UGCAGUCGAGCGGAAGGCCCUUCGGGGUACUCGAGCGGCGAACGGGUGAGUAACACGUGAGCAACCUGCCCUAGGCUUUGGGAUAACCCCGGGAAACCGGGGCUAAUACCGAAUAUGACCUGGCCUCGCAUGAGGUUGGGUGGAAAGUUUUUCGGCCUGGGAUGGGCUCGCGGCCUAUCAGCUUGUUGGUGGGGUGAUGGCCUACCAAGGCGACGACGGGUAGCCGGCCUGAGAGGGCGACCGGCCACACUGGGACUGAGACACGGCCCAGACUCCUACGGGAGGCAGCAGUGGGGAAUAUUGCACAAUGGGCGGAAGCCUGAUGCAGCGACGCCGCGUGAGGGAUGACGGCCUUCGGGUUGUAAACCUCUUUCAGCAGGGACGAAGCGUAAGUGACGGUACCUGCAGAAGAAGCGCCGGCCAACUACGUGCCAGCAGCCGCGGUAAGACGUAGGGCGCGAGCGUUGUCCGGAUUUAUUGGGCGUAAAGAGCUCGUAGGCGGCUUGUCGCGUCGACCGUGAAAACCUGGGGCUCAACCCCAGGCCUGCGGUCGAUACGGGCAGGCUAGAGUUCGGUAGGGGAGACUGGAAUUCCUGGUGUAGCGGUGAAAUGCGCAGAUAUCAGGAGGAACACCGGUGGCGAAGGCGGGUCUCUGGGCCGAUACUGACGCUGAGGAGCGAAAGCGUGGGGAGCGAACAGGAUUAGA